This 447-nucleotide ribosomal RNA is filed under the name uncultured organism. Its description in RNAcentral is "partial 16S ribosomal RNA". It matches the Rfam family "Bacterial small subunit ribosomal RNA", at positions 333 to 797 of the family's 1533-position model. The record is from RNAcentral.
ACACUCCUACGGGAGGCAGCAGUGGGGAAUAUUGGACAAUGGGCGCAAGCCUGAUCCAGCCAUGCCGCGUGAGUGAUGAAGGCCCUAGGGUUGUAAAGCUCUUUCACCGGAGAAGAUAAUGACGGUAUCCGGAGAAGAAGCCCCGGCUAACUUCGUGCCAGCAGCCGCGGUAAUACGAAGGGGGCUAGCGUUGUUCGGAAUUACUGGGCGUAAAGCGCACGUAGGCGGAUCGAUCAGUCAGGGGUGAAAUCCCAGGGCUCAACCCUGGAACUGCCUUUGAUACUGUCGAUCUGGAGUAUGGAAGAGGUGGGUGGAAUUCCGAGUGUAGAGGUGAAAUUCGUAGAUAUUCGGAGGAACACCAGUGGCGAAGGCGGCUCACUGGUCCAUUACUGACGCUGAGGUGCGAAAGCGUGGGGAGCAAACAGGAUUAGAAACCCGAGUAGUCCC